GGGGCCUUAGCUCAGCUGGGAGAGCGCCUGCCUUGCACGCAGGAGGUCAGCGGUUCGAUCCCCGCUAGGCUCCACCA
Molecule: transfer RNA, 77 nt
Filed under: Priestia megaterium
Lineage: Bacteria; Bacillati; Bacillota; Bacilli; Caryophanales; Bacillaceae
Also listed under: 1 other name
Description: Bacillus megaterium tRNA-Ala
Rfam family: tRNA
About the family: Transfer RNA (tRNA) molecules are approximately 80 nucleotides in length. Their secondary structure includes four short double-helical elements and three loops (D, anti-codon, and T loops). Further hydrogen bonds mediate the characteristic L-shaped molecular structure. tRNAs have two regions of fundamental functional importance: the anti-codon, which is responsible for specific mRNA codon recognition, and the 3' end, to which the tRNAs corresponding amino acid is attached (by aminoacyl-tRNA synthetases). tRNAs cope with the degeneracy of the genetic code in two manners: having more than one tRNA (with a specific anti-codon) for a particular amino acid; and 'wobble' base-pairing, i.e. permitting non-standard base-pairing at the 3rd anti-codon position.
Source: RNAcentral